GAUACUACUUUACCAUUUCUUAAGUUACUAACCAAAUCACUAUAGUGUGAAACAAUUUAUAACAUCAAUUACUACUUGUAAGUUGUAACCAUAUUAUAUAUAUAUAUGUAAAUCAAAUACAAAACGAACACGACAGUUUUUUUUUUUUUUUUUUGCCGAAUACAAAUCCUUUGGAAUAUGUACGUACCGUCUUACAUAUUGUAGCAACUAAAUGUAUAUUUUUUCAUAGGAUUAAUAUUAUCAUCCUAAUUAUAUAAAUAAUACUACGUACGUAUACUUGUUACAUAAUAACUUAUUACAUGAAAAAGGGAAUAUAAAAGAGAAUAUGAUAAUAUAUCAAAUUUGGGGGGGUGCACGAUCCAUCCAUCGACCGACUUGAAAUAAAUGGGAAGGUAGAGAGAGUACAGAGAGAUGUACAGUUGUAACACAUUAGUGUGGGGAAUAGAUUGAUAUAUAGAUAGGAGGAGAAUUGCAUAUAUAUAUAUAACAUUAACAUCUCCCUCAUUCAAUUUUGUUUUCGUCAUUAAACUCCCAAUUUAUAUAAUGUUUCAACUUCAUACCAGCGAUAUUUCUCCAAAUCAAUAUAUAAAUGUUUUUUUGUUUUUUUUUUUUUGCAUAUAUAUAGGCGACUUUUAAAAUAUGUAUAUCACCGCCAAAAUACAAUAACUACGAAUUUGAAUGUACGUACCGGUUUUUCUAACGACAUUUUUCUAUUUUAUAAACUUUAUUUUUC
This 733-nucleotide long non-coding RNA is filed under the name Capsella rubella. Its description in RNAcentral is "long non-coding RNA (CRUB_LNC001824)". The record is from RNAcentral. Lineage: Eukaryota; Viridiplantae; Streptophyta; Magnoliopsida; Brassicales; Brassicaceae.